CAUGGGGGCAACUGUUGUCAGCAACAGGCUAGGCACAGGAAAACAGUUGGAAUGGAAAGAGGAGGAGCGAGCUGCCUUCUUCGGGGCGGGCUUGGCAAGGGGCCUUGACCUGAUCUGUGCCAUGGGCGGCCUUCCCAGGAUGUUAACGAGACACACGAAGGCUUUGGAAAGACAGAAAGUGGCCAACGACGACAACAACAAACCGAUGCCUCCCCUGAGCAGAACUUUAUUGUGUGUCUGCUAACCUGCUUCUGAGCACACUCACCCAGCGCCGAGCAAAUAGUCGGUUCUUUUUUUGGUGGGCUCAAUCUGAAUCAGCCUGAGGGUUUAAGGGAAAUCGUGCUUAAAGAAAACAAAAAUCCCACCUGGAGGCGCACAGCCCACACAUUUCACAGCUGUUUCAUUGUUGGGACCAUUUAAAAAAUGACCUCAGGUAGGAAACGGGCAGGUUUAAGCAGGCUAUUUUGCACUGACCCCACUGUAGUUAUUAUUAUUUUUUUUAAUUUUAAGCCCUUACCUUCCAUCUUGGAGUCAAUACUGUGUAUUCUCCAAGGCAGAAGAGUGGUAAGGGCUAGGCAAUGGGGGUCAAGUGACUUGCCCAAGGUCAUAUAGCUGGGAAGUGUCUGAGACCAAAAUUGAACCUAGGACCUCCUGUUCUCCCUUCUGUAGUUUAUUAAGAGAAUCAUGCACACACAAUUUAUAUAUAGUAGUAGUAGUCUCUUGGUAACCAAGGAUGACGAUUGUCUUUGUUCACUUUCAUCUGUGAUGUAGAUGAGUGUGCACAAAAACACUUGUGCGUGAAGGAGAUUUAAAUGGAAAAGUCGAUGCACAGAGACAGUCCCACUCUCUCGGUGUUGGAAGCCUGGGUCCAGUGGCACGAAAAGUCAUUACACCUGGAGACUUCCUCAGCUGCAUUGGAUGGCCGUGUUGUCCUUUGUGCUCCAACAUGCCCUAAGCACUCCACAGUGCUUUGCUGCGUCGCCCUCUCAGCCGUUGAACCUUCUUAUUGGUUUCUUCCAUCUGUUUGGCCGAAGCAGUCUUCACAUGCUGGGUGAGCAAAGCCCUGGUUCACCAGAGGUCGACGACCCGAUGGCUACCCUCACAAGGUUUAGCCGGCCUGUCGAAGCCGUUGCCCAGAUUUUAAGUGAUCUUCAGAUGGUUAUUGCAAGGGACCACAACAUUUCUGGCAUGGGGGAAUGA
Molecule: long non-coding RNA, 1200 nt
Filed under: Monodelphis domestica (gray short-tailed opossum)
Lineage: Eukaryota; Metazoa; Chordata; Mammalia; Didelphimorphia; Didelphidae
Description: lncRNA (ENSMODG00000029812.2)
Source: RNAcentral